GACGAACGCUGGCGGCGUGCUUAACACAUGCAAGUCGAACGGAAAGGCCCUGCUUUUGUGGGGUGCUCGAGUGGCGAACGGGUGAGUAACACGUGAGUAACCUGCCCUUGACUUUGGGAUAACUUCAGGAAACUGGGGCUAAUACCGGAUAGGAGCUCCUGCUGCAUGGUGGGGGUUGGAAAGUUUCGGCGGUUGGGGAUGGACUCGCGGCUUAUCAGCUUGUUGGUGGGGUAGUGGCUUACCAAGGCUUUGACGGGUAGCCGGCCUGAGAGGGUGACCGGCCACAAUGGGACUGAGAUACGGCCCAGACUCCUACGGGAGGCAGAAGUGGGGAAUAUUGCACAAUGGGCGGAAGCCUGAGGCAGCAACGCCGCGUGCGGGAUGACGGCCUUCGGGUGGUAAACCGCUUUCGCCUGUGACGAAGCGUGAGUGACGGUAAUGGGUAAAGAAGCACCGGCUAACUACGUG
RNAcentral lists this ribosomal RNA (468 nucleotides) under uncultured bacterium. RNAcentral describes it as "partial 16S ribosomal RNA". It matches the Rfam family "Bacterial small subunit ribosomal RNA", at positions 28 to 507 of the family's 1533-position model. The record is from RNAcentral.